GGGCGGGUGGUGGAAUGGCAGACACGCCGGCCUUAGGAGCCGGUGGGGGCAACCCCAUGUGGGUUCAAGUCCCACCCCGCCCA
This 83-nucleotide transfer RNA is filed under the name bacterium. Its description in RNAcentral is "tRNA-Leu". It matches the Rfam family "tRNA". From Rfam's summary of the family: Transfer RNA (tRNA) molecules are approximately 80 nucleotides in length. The record is from RNAcentral.